GAUGUCGUGGCAGAAGGGGUUCUGCGCAAGACUAUAGUUCACGCUUGAUGUCUUGUUCCUUUAGGAGUGCCCGUUCGAAUCGGGUCGACAUCA
Non-coding RNA from Hypoxylon sp. FL1150, 93 nucleotides. The record is from the annotation of a GenBank genome assembly. NCBI's taxonomy places the organism in Eukaryota, Fungi, Ascomycota, Sordariomycetes, Xylariales, Hypoxylaceae.